This 440-nucleotide ribosomal RNA is filed under the name uncultured bacterium. Its description in RNAcentral is "partial 16S ribosomal RNA". It matches the Rfam family "Bacterial small subunit ribosomal RNA", at positions 338 to 795 of the family's 1533-position model. The record is from RNAcentral.
CCUACGGGAGGCAGCAGUGGGGGAUAUUGCACAAUGGGGGAAACCCUGAUGCAGCGACGCCGCGUGGGUGAAGAAGCACUUCGGCACGUAAAGCUCUAUCAGCAGGGAAGAAGAUGACGGUACCUGAGUAAGAAGCCCCGGCUAACUACGUGCCAGCAGCCGCGGUAAUACGUAGGGGGCAAGCGUUAUCCGGAUUUACUGGGUGUAAAGGGGGCGUAGACGGUGAGACAAGUCAGAAGUGAAAGCCCGGGGCUCAACCCCGGGACUGCUUUUGAAACUGCCUGGCUGGAGUGCUGGAGAGGCAGGCGGAAUUCCUGGUGUAGCGGUGAAAUGCGUAGAUAUUAGGAAGAACACCAGUGGCGAAGGCGGCUUGCUGGACAGUAACUGACGUUGAGGCUCGAAAGCGUGGGGAGCAAACAGGAUUAGAUACCCUGGUAGUC